UAGAGUUUGAUCCUGGCUCAGAUUGAACGCUGGCGGCAGGCCUAACACAUGCAAGUCGAGCGGAUGAAGGGAGCUUGCUCCUGGAUUCAGCGGCGGACGGGUGAGUAAUGCCUAGGAAUCUGCCUGGUAGUGGGGGAUAACGUCCGGAAACGGGCGCUAAUACCGCAUACGUCCUGAGGGAGAAAGUGGGGGAUCUUCGGACCUCACGCUAUCAGAUGAGCCUAGGUCGGAUUAGCCAGUUGGUGGGGUAAAGGCCUACCAAGGCGACGAUCCGUAACUGGUCUGAGAGGAUGAUCAGUCACACUGGAACUGAGACACGGUCCAGACUCCUACGGGAGGCAGCAGUGGGGAAUAUUGGACAAUGGGCGAAAACCUGAUCCAGCCAUGCCGCGUGUGUGAAGAAGGUCUUCGGAUUGUAAAGCACUUUAAGUUGGGAGGAAGGGCAGUAAGUUAAUACCUUGCUGUUUUGACGUUACCAACAGAAUAAGCACCGGCUAACUUCGUGCCAGCAGCCGCGGUAAUACGAAGGGUGCAAGCGUUAAUCGGAAUUACUGGGCGUAAAGCGCGCGUAGGUGGUUCAGCAAGUUGGAUGUGAAAUCCCCGGGCUCAACCUGGGAACUGCAUCCAAAACUACUGAGCUAGAGUACGGUAGAGGGUGGUGGAAUUUCCUGUGUAGCGGUGAAAUGCGUAGAUAUAGGAAGGAACACCAGUGGCGAAGGCGACCACCUGGACUGAUACUGACACUGAGGUGCGAAAGCGUGGGGAGCAAACAGGGAUUAGAUACCCUGGUAGUCCACGCCGUAAACGAUGUCGACUAGCCGUUGGGAUCCUUGAGAUCUUAGUGGCGCAGCUAACGCGAUAAGUCGACCCGCCCUGGGGGAGUACGGCCGCAAGGUUAAAACUCAAAUGAAUUGACGGGGGCCCGCACAAGCGGUGGAGCAUGUGGUUUAAUUCGAAGCAACGCGAAGAACCUUACCUGGCCUUGACAUGCUGAGAACUUUCCAGAGAUGGAUUGGUGCCUUCGGGAACUCAGACACAGGUGCUGCAUGGCUGUCGUCAGCUCGUGUCGUGAGAUGUUGGGUUAAGUCCCGUAACGAGCGCAACCCUUGUCCUUAGUUACCAGCACCUCGGGUGGGCACUCUAAGGAGACUGCCGGUGACAAACCGGAGGAAGGUGGGGAUGACGUCAAGUCAUCAUGGCCCUUACGGCCAGGGCUACACACGUGCUACAAUGGUCGGUACAAAGGGUUGCCAAGCCGCGAGGUGGAGCUAAUCCCAUAAAACCGAUCGUAGUCCGGAUCGCAGUCUGCAACUCGACUGCGUGAAGUCGGAAUCGCUAGUAAUCGUGAAUCAGAAUGUCACGGUGAAUACGUUCCCGGGCCUUGUACACACCGCCCGUCGCACCAUGGGAGUGGGUUGCUCCAGAAGUAGCUAGUCUAACCGCAAGGGGGACGGUUACCACGGAGUGAUUCAUGACUGGGGUGAAGUCGUAACAAGGUAACCG
RNAcentral lists this ribosomal RNA (1503 nucleotides) under Pseudomonas aeruginosa. RNAcentral describes it as "16S ribosomal RNA". It matches the Rfam family "Bacterial small subunit ribosomal RNA". Lineage: Bacteria; Pseudomonadati; Pseudomonadota; Gammaproteobacteria; Pseudomonadales; Pseudomonadaceae. The record is from RNAcentral.